This 293-nucleotide ribosomal RNA is filed under the name uncultured eukaryote. Its description in RNAcentral is "partial 18S ribosomal RNA". It matches the Rfam family "Eukaryotic small subunit ribosomal RNA", at positions 6 to 301 of the family's 1831-position model. The record is from RNAcentral.
GGUUGAUCCUGCCAGUAGUCAUAUGCUUGUCUCAAAGAUUAAGCCAUGCAUGUCUAAGUAUAAACUGCUUUAUACUGCGAAACUGCGAAUGGCUCAUUAAAUCAGUUAUAGUUUAUUUGAUGGUACUUACUACUCGGAUAACCGUAGUAAUUCUAGAGCUAAUACGUGCGCAAAUCCCGACUUCUGGAAGGGACGUAUAUAUUAGAUAAAAGGCCAGCCGAGCUUGCUCGACUUGAGGCGAAUCAUGAUAUCUCCACGAAUCGCAUGGCCUUGUGCCGGCGAUGUUUCAUUCA